UUAAGUUUUUUAUUUAUGCCUCUUUUUAACUUACCACAGUAAUAAAUGUUCACCACAGAAAAAUGUUACGAACAAAUAAGCAACCAUGCCGAAUAGUGGGGUCCAGAUUAUGCUCAUUCACAGCCAUAUUUACAUUUUUGCCAUCGUAACGAAGGUUUUUGCAAGACAAUUUGUUUGAGUUUAUUUCAUGGUUAAAUGCUUUACGAUGGUUUAUUUAGUUAUUUGAAUCUGAAAAAAGUGUGCAAAUUUCCCUUGAGACGAUAAAUAACAGAUCGGGUUGGGAUUUUAUUCCAAUAAAAAUACGGAAUAACUAAACAUGGCCUCGUUAAUAUUGCUGCGUAAUGGUCAGGCGAUAGUUCUCAAAUUAGUUGGUCGUGAAUUCGAGACAAAAUUUUAAGCUCAAUGACCUGCUCGUGGAAGGUGCACUUCGCAUUGCUAGGAGCUGGUGUAUAACGCUAGUCCCAAACCAAUGAGCUUUGUGCUUGAGGGUGGAAGCAACUUUUUGAGGAGCAAAUACUACAGUGAGCACAUUCGGAUUUUGCACAAGCUAUUGUCAAUUGCGCUAAGGAUCCCGAUACUGCUGGUCAAGUUUAUCAAGCUGUUGGAUCAAAGCGUUACCAGUUGAACGAAUUAAUUGAAACCUGUCAAUCGUGUUAUGCGCAAAAAUUAAAAAUGCGUUGUAUCCUACCUUCCUAUUGAAAGCCAAGACGUUUGGAUGUACAAUUGACCUCCAUGGAAGAGCAAGUACCAUGGAAAUUGCGACCUUACCGUGCUGCGCAAUAUUAUGAUGCCGAAUUGGGAGAGUGGGAGGAACCAGCUCCACCAAAAUCGAUAGAAGAACUACGUAUGUUUGCAUAAAACUACUAUAAUGGCAACAACGCUAACAACAACAACCAAGCAAAUAUUAAACAACACUCAUCAAAUGAAAGUUGGUGGCGUUGGUGGCCAAGCAGCGAUUUAAAAAGAAAUAUUUGCAUCUACGCGAAUAAGAAUUCGUCUUUACAUCUAGUGAAUUAUGAAUAAGAAAGUAUAUAACUUAUCGCAGUUAUUUGUUUUUAUUAUUGCAUUUAGUUUUACUUUGUGAACAGCAAAACUGGCGGACCCUUUUUCUACCGAUUUUAUAAUUAUAACCCC
Bactrocera tryoni is the source of this 1134-nucleotide long non-coding RNA. RefSeq lists it as uncharacterized. The transcript is spliced from 3 exons. NCBI's taxonomy places the organism in Eukaryota, Metazoa, Arthropoda, Insecta, Diptera, Tephritidae. The record is from RefSeq and is a predicted model, not a curated record.